RNAcentral lists this long non-coding RNA (574 nucleotides) under Homo sapiens (human). RNAcentral describes it as "novel transcript, sense intronic to ZNF596". The record is from RNAcentral. Lineage: Eukaryota; Metazoa; Chordata; Mammalia; Primates; Hominidae.
GUUUAGAUGGGAAGUGGAUGGGUCUGAGGAAUUUGAACAAACACCGACAAUGAAGGAGAGUGACCUGAGCAAGUAGUAGUGGGGUAAAUGGAAAUAGACAAAAUGGGAAUCAGCAGAGAUAUGGAGGACAGAAUACAAUGAGGAGGCCUUGACCGUCAGUAGCAGAGAGGGCAGCAGAAGCCUAAUUCCCAAAUUCUUUAGAUGGUUUUCUGAUUUCCAAAUUAGUUUCCCUUUUAAAUUUAUUGUGUCAGGUUCAGCUUAUGAGGCCUCAAUACUUUUCAGUCUUAAUUGUAUAUUGAAAAUACUUUUUGUUUACUAAAUGCUUUUUACAUUAAUUCAGUGUGCACUUCGUAAGGAUAAUGAUGAUUUGAGUUAGUUUAGUAUUCAACAGCUUCCUCUAUUCCUUUAUAUGAUCUCUGUAUUUAAUGGCUGUGGCAUAAAGUUUCCAACUAAGUUUAAGUAUCAAGUUUUCUUUGUGCUGUUUUCUGCAAAUAUUGAAGGAUGACCUGGAUUGUCCUAGAACUUUGUUCCAACAGAUUACAUGUGUUCAUAAUGAAUAGACUGCUCAAAGAUA